Molecule: ribosomal RNA, 253 nt
Filed under: uncultured bacterium
Lineage: Bacteria
Description: partial 16S ribosomal RNA
Rfam family: Bacterial small subunit ribosomal RNA
Source: RNAcentral
UACGAAGGUCCCAAGCGUUAUCCGGAUUUAUUGGGUUUAAAGGGUGCGUAGGCGGGCUAUUAAGUCAGUGGUGAAAGCCCCAAGCUUAACUUGGGAACUGCCAUUGAUACUGAUGGUCUUGAGUACAUUUGAGGUGGGCGGAAUGUGUCAUGUAGCGGUGAAAUGCUUAGAUAUGACACAGAACACCGAUUGCGAAGGCAGCUCACUAAGCUGUAACUGACACUGAGGCACGAAAGCGUGGGGAGCAAACAGG